This 247-nucleotide ribosomal RNA is filed under the name uncultured gamma proteobacterium SUR-ATT-12. RNAcentral's name for it is "partial 16S ribosomal RNA". Lineage: Bacteria; Pseudomonadati; Pseudomonadota; Gammaproteobacteria. The record is from RNAcentral.
GGUUACCUUGUUACGACUUCACCCCAGUCAUGAAACACAAAGUGGUAAGCGCCAUCCCGAAGGUUAAGCUACCUACUUCUUUUGCAUCCCACUCCCAUGGUGUGACGGGCGGUGUGUACAAGGCCCGGGAACGUAUUCACCGUAGUAUGCUGACCUACGAUUACUAGCGAUUCCGACUUCAUGGAGUCGAGUUGCAGACUCCAAUCCGGACUACCACACAAGCUUUAUGGGGGUCCGCUUACCUUCC